This 462-nucleotide ribosomal RNA is filed under the name uncultured bacterium. Its description in RNAcentral is "bacterial SSU rRNA". It matches the Rfam family "Bacterial small subunit ribosomal RNA", at positions 339 to 794 of the family's 1533-position model. The record is from RNAcentral.
GUACGGGAGGCAGCAGUGGGGAAUAUUGGACAAUGGGCGCAAGCCUGAUCCAGCAAUACCGCGUGUGUGAAGAAGGCCUGAGGGUUGUAAAGCACUUUUAAUCGGGAGGAAUAGCUGUCAGCGAAUACCUGGCAGUCUGACAUUACCGAUAGAAAAAGCACCGGCUAACUCCGUGCCAGCAGCCGCGGUAAUACGGAGGGUGCAAGCGUUAAUCGGAAUUACUGGGCGUAAAGCGUGCGUAGGCGGCUGUUUAAGUCAGAUGUGAAAGCCCCGGGCUUAACCUGGGAACGGCAUUUGAUACUGGGCAGCUAGAGUUGAGUAGAGGAGAGGGGAAUUUCAGGUGUAGCGGUGAAAUGCGUAGAGAUCUGAAGGAACACCAGUGGCGAAGGCGCCUCUCUGGACUCAAACUGACGCUGAGGUACGAAAGCGUGGGUAGCAAACAGGAUUAGAUACCCCGGUAGC